CCGCCCUGAGCCGACUGAGGCGACAUCUAAUUGCCUGAAGUGCCUUGCACAAACCUUCAUGCCUUUAGAAAUAUUUCUUCAUGUUGAAGAGCAGGUUUUGGAUGUGCCAAGAGAUUUAACCAGAAGGAGUGGCAGCGUCCCCAUUGGAGAGCUGUGGCCACUGGAGAGCCGUGUGGGCAGCACUGACCAGCUCCAGAUUGCAGAAUGCCUUGACCACCAGCCAGGAUGCUGAUGUCAUGGCUAAGUGGUGAAGGAUGCUAGUGGCUUUUAAGCAGAGCGCUGACCGCAGCCUGCCAGGUGGCCCCUGUGUCCAGGAAGAUUUGCCCAGAGCCUCCUCUCCUGCAGACACCCAGAUGUCCAGCGUGCACAGCUCUUUGCUUCAGCCCUUCAUUGGGCCAACGGCAGCAAAUCACCAAGC
This 418-nucleotide long non-coding RNA is filed under the name Equus asinus (donkey). RNAcentral describes it as "lncRNA (ENSEASG00005030248.1)". The record is from RNAcentral. Lineage: Eukaryota; Metazoa; Chordata; Mammalia; Perissodactyla; Equidae.